UUGAAUGAUGGAUGUUAUUCUUGUGCAGGAACAGAGAAAGCUGCAGUUUAAUUUGUCACAUUGUGUUUCUCCAGUAAGUUUCGUUUAUUGGAGUGCAGUGAUUCAAUAAGGCCUUCUCAACAUUACCUUCUCAAGGAAAAAUCUCUCCCUUGAGUUCACCUGCAGACCUCUCUCUUGGAGUCGUUCUUGUAAUCACCUGAGGCCCAUGAAGAAGCCCAGAAUGCAAAGAAGCAGAGACCAGCUGACCAUCAUUGAGAGAGAGAGAGGGAGAAAGCAACUUUGCAGAGCCAGAGACAGAGCCACGGAAAAAGUGACUGUGUAAAUUUACAAGAGACUCUGGACAUAUUGUAAUCAGAAGAGGCAGUAUGUUUCGUGUUGAUAAUUAUGGCAAUUUUGUUCCUGAUAAAUUGUGAAUGUUUUACUUUG
Molecule: long non-coding RNA, 426 nt
Organism: Stegostoma tigrinum
Lineage: Eukaryota; Metazoa; Chordata; Chondrichthyes; Orectolobiformes; Stegostomatidae
Exons: 2
Source: RefSeq, a predicted model, not a curated record